Molecule: non-coding RNA, 24 nt
Filed under: Arabidopsis thaliana (thale cress)
Lineage: Eukaryota; Viridiplantae; Streptophyta; Magnoliopsida; Brassicales; Brassicaceae
Source: RNAcentral
GGUGCAGAAUAAUGUUUGAUUGGU